CCUACGGGAGGCAGCAGUGGGGAAUAUUGGACAAUGGGCGCAAGCCUGAUCCAGCCAUGCCGCGUGAGUGAUGAAGGCCUUAGGGUUGUAAAGCUCUUUUGUCCGGGAAGAUAAUGACUGUACCGGAAGAAUAAGCCCCGGCUAACUUCGUGCCAGCAGCCGCGGUAAUACGAAGGGGGCUAGCGUUGCUCGGAAUCACUGGGCGUAAAGCGCACGUAGGCGGAUCUUUAAGUCAGAGGUGAAAUCCCAGGGCUCAACCCUGGAACUGCCUUUGAUACUGGGGAUCUCGAGUCCGGAAGAGGUGAGUGGAACUCCGAGUGUAGAGGUGAAAUUCGUAGAUAUUCGGAAGAACACCAGUGGCGAAGGCGGCUCACUGGUCCGGUACUGACGCUGAGGUGCGAAAGCGUGGGGAGCAAACAGGAUUAGAUACCCGUGGUAGUCCACGCCGUAAACGAUGGAUGCUAGCCGUUGGAAAGCAUGCUUUUCAGUGCGCAGUUACACUUUAAGCAUCCCGCCUGGGGAUACGGUCGCAAGNUUAAAACUCAAAGNUAUGACGNGNGAGNGNGCGAGACGACGAGAGAG
Molecule: ribosomal RNA, 582 nt
Filed under: uncultured bacterium
Lineage: Bacteria
Description: bacterial SSU rRNA
Rfam family: Bacterial small subunit ribosomal RNA
Source: RNAcentral